Molecule: signal recognition particle RNA, 266 nt
Filed under: Chloroflexota bacterium
Lineage: Bacteria; Bacillati; Chloroflexota
Description: Chloroflexi bacterium (groundwater metagenome) signal recognition particle sRNA large type
Rfam family: Bacterial large signal recognition particle RNA
About the family: The signal recognition particle (SRP) is a universally conserved ribonucleoprotein involved in the co-translational targeting of proteins to membranes. Archaeal SRP consists of a 7S RNA and homologues of the eukaryotic SRP19 and SRP54 proteins. In most bacteria, the SRP consists of a 4.5S RNA and the Ffh protein (a homologue of the eukaryotic SRP54 protein).
Source: RNAcentral
CCGUGCUAGGCGGGGAAGUAGCGGCGCCCUGUACCCGAAAUCCGCUCUAGCGGGGCUGAAGUCCCAUCCGAGGUCCCCGGGCGCGAGGCGAAGCCGACGCCGUCUCAGCGAUGACGAGCGGGCCCUGCGCGGCGGAGACCAGCGAACCCCGCCAGGUCCGGAAGGAAGCAACGGUAAGUUGUCGUCUCCGGGUGCCGCAGGUAAGCCUGCUCUGAGCCGAGCGACACCGGCCCGUCACGCGUACCAGAUCGACGGUGGGUGCACGG